UUGGGCGUAAGAGCUCGUAGGCGGUUUGUCGCGUCUGCUGUGAAAUCCGGAGCUCAACCUCCGGCCUGCAGUGGGUACGGGCAGACUAGAGUGCGGUAGGGGAGAUUGGAAUUCCUGGUGUAGCGGUGGAAUGCGCAGAUAUCAGGAGGAACACCGAUGGCGAAGGCAGAUCUCUGGGCCGUAACUGACGCUGAGGAGCGAAAGGGUGGGGAGCAAACAGGCUUAGAUACCCUGGUAGUCCACCCCGUAAACGUUGGGAACUAGUUGUGGGGUCCAUUCCACGGAUUCCGUGACGCAGCUAACGCAUUAAGUUCCCCGCCUGGGGAGUACGGCCGCAAGGCUAAAACUCAAAGGAAUUGACGGGGACCCGCACAAGCGGCGGAGCAUGCGGAUUAAUUCGAUGCAACGCGAAGAACCUUACCAAGGCUUGACAUAUACGAGAACGGGCCAGAAAUGGUCAACUCUUUGGACACUCGUAAACAGGUGGUGCAUGGUUGUCGUCAGCUCGUGUCGUGAGAUGUUGGGUUAAGUCCCGCAACGAGCGCAACCCUCGUUCUAUGUUGCCAGCACGUAAUGGUGGGAACUCAUGGGAUACUGCCGGGGUCAACUCGGAGGAAGGUGGGGAUGACGUCAAAUCAUCAUGCCCCUUAUGUCUUGGGCUUCACGCAUGCUACAAUGGCCGGUACAAAGGGCUGCAAUACCGCGAGGUGGAGCGAAUCCCAAAAAGCCGGUCCCAGUUCGGAUUGAGGUCUGCAACUCGACCUCAUGAAGUCGGAGUCGCUAGUAAUCGCAGAUCAGCAACGCUGCGGUGAAUACGUUCCCGGGUCUUGUACACACCGCCCGUCAAGUCAUGAAAGUCGGUAACACCUGAAGCCGGUGGCCUAACCCUUGUGGAGGGAGCCGUCGAAGGUGGGAUCGGUAAUUAGGACUAAGUC
This 935-nucleotide ribosomal RNA is filed under the name Microbacterium sp. MI-2b. Its description in RNAcentral is "SSU rRNA". It matches the Rfam family "Bacterial small subunit ribosomal RNA", at positions 554 to 1487 of the family's 1533-position model. Lineage: Bacteria; Bacillati; Actinomycetota; Actinomycetes; Micrococcales; Microbacteriaceae. The record is from RNAcentral.